UGUUUGCCCUUCUUGUGGUGAGUGCAAGUACGACCCUGGAAAGGUGGAGUCUAGAGCUGCUUUUAGGAGAGUGGUAGGUGGUUCACAUCUCCCACAUUAUCACAGUGAGGCAGAGUUACAGGGUAGCCAGAAGCUGGAUUUCAGUGAUAUAGACCCAGCUCUAAAGUGGAGGUAAAACCUGGUAAAGGAGGUACUUUGGAUAACUGUUUGACAUGUUCUCCUCAAUAUCUUGAUUACCUGGGGGAAUUACGCUAUUGGUAUUUUUGUG
Cavia porcellus (domestic guinea pig) is the source of this 268-nucleotide unclassified non-coding RNA. Lineage: Eukaryota; Metazoa; Chordata; Mammalia; Rodentia; Caviidae. The record is from Ensembl.